AUACGUAGGUGACAAGCGUUAUCCGGAUUUACUGGGCGUAAAGGGCGUGUAGGCGGUCUUGCAAGUCAGAAGUGAAAUUCCUGAGCUCAACUCGGGCGCUGCUUCUGAAACUGCAGGACUUGAGUGCUGGAGGGGAUAGCGGAAUUCCUAGUGGAGCGGUAAAAUGCGCAGAUAUUAGGAAGAACACCGGUGGCGAAGGCGGCUAUCUGGACAGUAACUGACGCUGAGGCGCGAAAGCGUGGGGAGCAAACAGGAUUAGAUACCCUGGUAGUCCACGCCGCAAACGAUGAAUACUAGGUGUAGGGGGUAUCGACUCCCUCUGUGCCGCAGUUAACACAAUAAGUAUUCCGCCUGGGGAGUACGGCCGCAAGGUUGAAACUCAAAUGAAUUGACGGGG
This 397-nucleotide ribosomal RNA is filed under the name uncultured bacterium. RNAcentral's name for it is "partial 16S ribosomal RNA". It matches the Rfam family "Bacterial small subunit ribosomal RNA", at positions 523 to 918 of the family's 1533-position model. The record is from RNAcentral.